CGGGACGGGUGAGUAAUGUAUGGGGAUCUGCCUGAUGGCGGGGGAUAACUACUGGAAACGGUAGCUAAUACCGCAUAAUGUCUACGGACCAAAGCGGGGGACCUUCGGGCCUCUUGCCAUCGGAUGUGCCCAGAUGGGAUUAGCUUGUAGGUAAGGUAACGGCUUACCUAGGCGACGAUCCCUAGCUGGUCUGAGAGGAUGAUCAGCCACACUGGGACUGAGACACGGCCCAG
RNAcentral lists this ribosomal RNA (233 nucleotides) under uncultured bacterium. Its description in RNAcentral is "partial 16S ribosomal RNA". It matches the Rfam family "Bacterial small subunit ribosomal RNA", at positions 100 to 334 of the family's 1533-position model. The record is from RNAcentral.